Molecule: long non-coding RNA, 186 nt
Organism: Alosa alosa (allis shad)
Lineage: Eukaryota; Metazoa; Chordata; Actinopteri; Clupeiformes; Clupeidae
Exons: 3
Source: RefSeq, a predicted model, not a curated record
AUUGCAAUCAGAUGCAGGCUGAUUGACGCUGAUUGGUAGGCAGAUCAGAGACACCAGUGGAAGCAGGUGAGAACCAGGAGCAGACAGAGGAAGGGCGGAGACUCAGACCGACAGCAGUGGUACACAACAGCUCCUGCAGAGGGGGACAAAUAGACAAAACACUAGGAGGACAAACCACAAACAGAG